Molecule: ribosomal RNA, 254 nt
Filed under: uncultured bacterium
Lineage: Bacteria
Description: partial 16S ribosomal RNA
Rfam family: Bacterial small subunit ribosomal RNA
Source: RNAcentral
GACGAACCGUGCGAACGUUAUUCGGAAUCACUGGGCUUAAAGCGCGUGUAGGCGGAUGGGUGCGUCGGAACCUGAAAGCCCCCGGCUCAACCGGGGAAGUGGGGCCGAAACGACCCGUCUGGAGGGACGUAGGGGGAUCUGGAACUUCCGGUGGAGCGGUGAAAUGCGUUGAGAUCGGAAGGAACGCCCGUGGCGAAAGCGAGAUCCUGGACGUUUUCUGACGCUGAGACGCGAAAGCUAGGGGAGCAAACGGG